GUGGUACCGUGGUCCUCCUCGCGCCCUCUCUACUUUACCCCGGGAGCGCCACAACCACUCCAUCCCCUCGAACCCUAGAGCUCUCCUCUUCCUCCCCCAUCCUCGCGCCGCCAACCCUCUCCCCUUUAUUUUUUUCUGUGAACAAAACGAGGAAGAAAACCCACACCACCGCCUCCACCUCGCCAUGGCGCCGCCGCUACCGGCCGCCCCUCGACGAACCGAAGCCACCAGAAGAACCGCCUCGUCGUCCUCGUCUUCCCCCUGCAAGGAAUCGAGCCGCGGCUCUUCCAAUCGACGGCAGUUUCGCCGAUACCUUCUCCGAGCCCGGCGGUAAAAGCUUCGAUGCCGGCCGCCAUACGCCUCCUCCGGCCGCGCGGAGCACUCCUGCACGUUCCUGGAGCUCACCGCCGGCGAUGCUCCGGUGACCCCCUGGACCCAUCACCGCCACCAUCUGCUUCGCCAUGUUCAGGCGCAUCUCCGACACCAUCUUCUCGGUCCUGGUUCGCCUUGAAUCGGCGGAUCAGUUCGCGACUUGAUCUUCCACCAUGGCUGCAGUUGUUCAUGUGCGUCCGCUUCAUGAAUUGGUUCAAAACGCCACGCACCACAUUUCGUUCACAAACGCACUACCAACCCAGUGAUCCGGCGCUGAUGGGCCUUGACCCAGAUCCUCCGGCGUAGCCCGUUUCUCCGUGCGCCCAGCUCUUGUUCGUCGCCACCAGCAGUCCAGAUCGGGUCCUGGACAGUGCAGGAUCACGAAGUGGUGAUGUGAGAUACGACGAGUUCUUCGACAAGUGCUUCUGCAGCUUUUCACAAGCGAGUCCUCUCUCUUCACCUAUUUUACAUUUUGCUCCCCCUCGCACUGCUAUACAUAGGUUGCGCUUCUUUAUCGAGUCACCUGUCCUAUUCCACUUGUUUACCAUGAUAAUCCUAUAUGUAUCAUUCCUUACCCAUAGCCGUUGUUUGAUGUUUGAGCCUUGCGAGUCAUAGGCCUGUUUAGGCUCUGUUGUUUAUCUCGAUCUGUUAUCGGGAUAUGUUGGGUUGUUGGGAGGUUAUCACAUUCUCUAUCAGUUGUUGGAGAUACACAUGCUUUACUUAUUUGUUAACAACUAAAAUUGUAAGCAGAGGCAUCUGUGAGCCCCUUUGCGAAAGCAUCGGAACUUUGACUCGCUAAUGUCCCCUAGGACCCGAGUUCUUGUUAUCUGUUCCGAGAUUGAGCGCUCUACUCGUACAUGGUGACGAUUAUCGGGACCCCCCUCACCCAUUACCUUUUCUCAAGUCAGUUGAAAAUGGGGCCACAACCUUGGUUUUAUUUGCCUAUGCCAUGUAUGCCAUGCUUUACUUACUAUUUCCUUCGGGUGUUUACUUCCUGUUGCCUUCGGGUGUUUAUAUUCUGUAUUGUACCCCGCGGGACGUUUAGCAAAGCGUGUGGUUCGCACGCCUAGCCGCCGUCGCAAACCCUGAGUUCGCUUCAGAGUACGGCCGGACUUCGUUACGGGUAGCUUAGUCGGGUGUCCCCCCUAGACUUUCUUGUUGAACUGGGAACGGUCUUGUUGUGAGACAUCCACCUGUCGUAAGUGGGUCGAGCAUGCUUAUGGUUACAUUUGGGCAACCCCUACAGGGUGUACAUCUUAUCGAUAAGCCAUGUCCGCGGUUAUGGACGACUUGGAAUUGUAUAACUUGAUCAUAGAACAACUUACACUGUUAUCUUGUUGCUAAUAAUCUGAUAAUAACUUGCGUAGUAAUAUAGCAUUACUACAACCAACAUAUAAUAAAAUUGUCAAUCGUGGAGUGCCUUUUACAUUGCUUCUUUGCUUUGUUGAAGGGGAUAUGUGUAAUCGGCUGGGUUAUGUUUGUGUAGUAUUUUACCUGUUACCUUAUGCGCUCUCUUAUCUUCUCCGAUUAGACGGAUGUUGUAGCGUGUCUCUAUUGGUUAUAGUUUUGCUGCCGCUAAACCUACCAUAUAGCCCCAGGCGAUAUAUUCGCCCGGCGAGCAUAGCCAUUUCUAGUUUCGCUAAGUACGUGCCGGAGUUCGUUCCUUGGUACUUACUCUCGCCUUUUCCUUUUCUCUUCUGUUUCCUCCCUUUUGUCGGCAACCGAUGGCCCGACUUUGACAGGUACAAGAUGACGACGUUAGCAAGGUUACCCUUCCGGCUUGGCCUGGGCAGGGUUAUGGACGCCAUCGUUUAUCUUCAGGACUCUUAGUCCAAUUUGUAUCUUGUCCGUACUCGGACAUAUUCGAUCUUCUGUAUGAUUUGGAUCUUUGUAUUGUAUAUUUGUAUCUUGACUCGUUGGAGUCUUUGUUGUAAUAUAUGUAUCUUGUGGGCUCUAUUGUAAACCUGUUGUAAUGUUACUACUCGUGGUAAUUACUCUGGCAUCACGUGUGUGAUGUCGUGCA
Long non-coding RNA from Lolium perenne, 2395 nucleotides. RefSeq lists it as uncharacterized. The record is from RefSeq and is a predicted model, not a curated record. NCBI's taxonomy places the organism in Eukaryota, Viridiplantae, Streptophyta, Magnoliopsida, Poales, Poaceae.